CAAGAGCGUAUGUAAAAGUUGUUGCAGUUAAAAAGCUCGUAGUUGAACCUUGGGUUUGGUUGGCCGGUCCGCUUUUUUGCGAGUACUGGAUUCAACCGAGCCUUUCCUUCUGGCUAACCAGUCGUUUCGGCGGCUGGCGAACCAGGAUUUUUACUUUGAGAAAAUUAGAGUGUUCAAAGCAGGCAUUAGCUUGAAUAUAUUAGCAUGGAAUAAUAGAAUAGGACGUUAUGGUUCUAUUUUGUUGGUUUCUAGGACCAUCGUAAUGAUUAAUAGGGACGGUCGGGGGCAUCAGUAUCCAGUUGUCAGAGGUGAAAUUCUUGGAUUUACUGAAGACUAACUACUGCGAAAGCAUUUGCCAAGGACGUUUUCAUUAA
Molecule: ribosomal RNA, 374 nt
Filed under: uncultured eukaryote
Lineage: Eukaryota
Description: partial 18S ribosomal RNA
Rfam family: Eukaryotic small subunit ribosomal RNA
Source: RNAcentral